UACGUAGGGGGCAAGCGUUGUCCGGAUUUAUUGGGCGUAAAGAGCGUGUAGGCGGUUUGGUAGGUCCGCUGUGAAAACUCGAGGCUCAACCUCGAGACGCCGGUGGAAACCAUCAGACUAGAGUCCGGAAGAGGAGAGUGGAAUUCCUGGUGUAGCGGUGAAAUGCGCAGAUAUCAGGAAGAACACCCGUGGCUAAGGCGGCUCUCUAGUACGGUACUGACGCUGAGGAGCGAAAAGCGUGGGGAGCGAACAGG
Molecule: ribosomal RNA, 254 nt
Filed under: uncultured bacterium
Lineage: Bacteria
Description: partial 16S ribosomal RNA
Rfam family: Bacterial small subunit ribosomal RNA
Source: RNAcentral